CUGACACAGGGAGGUAGUGACAAAAAAUACCAAUACAGGGCAUUACAUGUCUUGUAAUUGGAAUGAGAACAAUUUAAAUCCCUUAUCGAGGAUCCAUUGGAGGGCAAGUCUGGUGCCAGCAGCCGCGGUAAUUCCAGCUCCAAUAGCGUAUAUUAAAGUUGUUGCAGUUAAAAAGCUCGUAGUCGGAUUUUGGCAUCACGCCGAACUGUCAGCCGAUUGGUUUGUACGGUUUGGCGGGUGCUCUCCUUCCGGAAGCUCGUUCCCUUCUUAGUUGACGGGUUCGAUGGUUCCGGGUCUUUUACUUUGAAAAAAUUAGAGUGUUCAAAGCAGGCCUAUGCUCUGAAUAGGUUAGCAUGGAAUAAUAGAAUAGGACUUUGGUUCUAUUUUGUUGGUUUCUAGGACCGAAGUAAUGAUUAAUAGGGACAGUUGGGGGCAUUCAUAUUCCAAUGUCAGAGGUGAAAUUCUUGGAUUAUCGGAAGAUGAACUUCUGCGAAAGCAUCUGCCAAGGAUGUU
Molecule: ribosomal RNA, 513 nt
Filed under: uncultured picobiliphyte
Lineage: Eukaryota; Picozoa
Description: SSU rRNA
Rfam family: Eukaryotic small subunit ribosomal RNA
Source: RNAcentral